RNAcentral lists this long non-coding RNA (499 nucleotides) under Cavia porcellus (domestic guinea pig). Its description in RNAcentral is "lncRNA (ENSCPOG00000033002.1)". The record is from RNAcentral. Lineage: Eukaryota; Metazoa; Chordata; Mammalia; Rodentia; Caviidae.
UUAAAAUAUCUUCUAAUGUUUGAAAAAUAAUUGCCUUUAGCUUUGCCUUAUGAGUGGAGAAAUCAUUCAAAUGUCGCCUCAAAUGAGUCUCAUCUUUGAAGCAAUGGACCUUUCCCAAGCCUCACCUGCCACUGUGAGUCGUUGUGGCAUGAUUUACUUGGAGCCCUCACAGUUAGGAUGGGAACCACUUGUGUCUUCAUGGUUGCAUUCACUGAAAGAACCUCUGUGUGAACCAGAACACCAAGCUCUUCUGAGAGGACUUUUUGAGUGGCUGAUAAUACCUUCUUUAAGGUUUCGCAAGAAAAACUGCAAGGAACUGUUUCCUACAAGUAAUAGCAAUGUGGUUGUGUCUCUCACUCGCCUCUUUGAAGUACUGCUCUGUAGUGUGGUAGAAAAUGAUCCUACUAGCAAGCACAUUCGUACUUGGAUUAUGGUUAGUUUUACAGUUAAUGAAGUUUAAAAUACAGAGUAAAAUAUAUUUCUGGAAAAUAAUGUUUAU